Naganishia onofrii is the source of this 102-nucleotide non-coding RNA. NCBI's taxonomy places the organism in Eukaryota, Fungi, Basidiomycota, Tremellomycetes, Filobasidiales, Filobasidiaceae. The record is from the annotation of a GenBank genome assembly.
GGAGCUAUAGUAUAGUGGUUAUUAUAUCGGAUUCCAAUCCACUUCGUUUCAGAAGUACCAACUGCCAUCCGAGGGUCGCCUGUUCGAUCCGGGCUAGCUUCA